Molecule: ribosomal RNA, 259 nt
Filed under: Argyrodes sp. The_262
Lineage: Eukaryota; Metazoa; Arthropoda; Arachnida; Araneae; Theridiidae
Description: partial large subunit ribosomal RNA
Rfam family: Archaeal large subunit ribosomal RNA (bases 1-108)
Source: RNAcentral
AAUUAAAUUUUCUUAAUUUCGCAAUAGAAAUUAAAGUAAGUCUGUUCGACUUUUAAAAAUUUACAUGAUUUGAGUUCAAACCGGUGUAAGCCAGGUUGGUUUCUAUCUUUUUAUAUUAUCUUCUAGUACGAAAGGACAAAAAAUAAUAUUUUAAAUUUAUAUUUGGCAGAUAAUUGCAUUAGAAUUAGAAUCUAAUUAUACUUUUAUCUAUUUACUUAAUUCUAUUUUUCCUAUAAUUAGAAUUUUAAUUAGAGUAGCU